This 253-nucleotide ribosomal RNA is filed under the name uncultured bacterium. RNAcentral describes it as "partial 16S ribosomal RNA". It matches the Rfam family "Bacterial small subunit ribosomal RNA", at positions 524 to 776 of the family's 1533-position model. The record is from RNAcentral.
UACGUAGGGUGCGAGCGUUGUCCGGAAUUACUGGGCGUAAAGCGUGCGCAGGCGGUUCGUUGUGUCGGUGGUGAAAUCCCCGGGCUUAACCUGGGAAUGGCCAUGGAAACUGGCGAACUGGAGUGUGGCAGAGGGGGGUGGAAUUCCGCGUGUAGCAGUGAAAUGCGUAGAGAUGCGGAGGAACACCGAUGGCGAAGGCAGCCCCCUGGGCUAGCACUGACGCUCAGGCACGAAAGCGUGGGGAGCAAACAGG